AUUGAACGCUGGCGGCAGGCCUAACACAUGCAAGUCGAACGGUAACAGGAAGCAGCUUGCUGCUUCGCUGACGAGUGGCGGACGGGUGAGUAAUGUCUGGGAAACUGCCUGAUGGAGGGGGAUAACUACUGGAAACGGUAGCUAAUACCGCAUAACGUCGCAAGACCAAAGAGGGGGACCUUCGGGCCUCUUGCCAUCGGAUGUGCCCAGAUGGGAUUAGCUAGUAGGUGGGGUAACGGCUCACCUAGGCGACGAUCCCUAGCUGGUCUGAGAGGAUGACCCGCCACACUGGAACUGAGACACGGUCCAGACUCCUACGGGAGGCAGAAGUGGGGAAUAUUGCACAAUGGGCGCAAGCCUGAUGCAGCCAUGCCGCGUGUAUGAAGAAGGCCUUCGGGUUGUAAAGUACUUUCAGCGGGGGGGAAGGCGGUGAGGUUAAUAACCUCGCCGAUUGACGUUACCCGCAGAAGAAGCACCGGCUAACUCCGUGCCAGCAGCCGCCGUAA
Molecule: ribosomal RNA, 506 nt
Filed under: uncultured bacterium
Lineage: Bacteria
Description: partial 16S ribosomal RNA
Rfam family: Bacterial small subunit ribosomal RNA
Source: RNAcentral